UAUUCAUGUAGCAAACCUGUGCAUGUACCGCUGAACCUAAAAUAAAAGUUGGAAGAAAAUAAAAGGUUGAGACUUGUCCACUGUAAAGUUAAAAAAAAAAUUCUGAAAGAAAUCAAAGAUCUAAAUAAAUGAAAAGACAACUAAAUUCAAGGAUAACACAAUUUAAUUUUGACAAGAUCACAAUAUUCCACAAAUAAAUCUGCAGAUUCAAUGCAAUUCCUGUUGAAAUCCCAUCUGUCUUUUUACAGAAAUUGACCGAGCAACCCCAAAAUAUACAUUUAAAUGCAAAGAAAGUCAAAUAAGCUAAUAAAUAUUAGAAAUAAAAACAGUUUUUUGAAAAGUUAACCCUGCUUUCGGAACCCAAGGCAAAAACAAACUCUGGCAAACUAAAAGAAUUGAUAUUACAAAUGCACAUAAAGAUUCCGUGACAUACUCUAGAUAACAAUGAUGCUGUUCCCUUUCAUGCAUAGCAGCUCCAGAGCCUAUUUACCCUUGAACAAAAGGCACAAAAUUUAAACCUUCGAACACUUUUACCAAUAUUUCAAAGCCAAGGUCCAAAUAUAUUUAACAUUGCCACUUAUAAAUAUUUCUGUGGCUCUCACAAAACAUCACUCUGACUAGAGUCUAUCUACAAAAAAAAAAUAAUAACAACAAAAAAAACUUAUUAAGUGUCUCACCUUCAAUGUACAAUGUUUCAAAAGCAUUACUUAUGUCUCUGGUAUUUAUUUUAAAAGAAUAAUUUUCUUAACUCUAUGAGAAAAUGCUGUCAAAUAGGUUGGUUUUGAAAAAGCAUUAGUUUCAAAAACCUGGUAAUUGUUACUGCUUUCUUCAUAUCUAAAAGUCUUUAUUCUUACACACACACACACACACACACACACACAGACACACACACUAAGACCCAGGUAGAUAACUUCGUGAGCAUUGGGACUGAACACAAUUUCUCGUAAGUAGGUUACUUACAGGUAUUGACCCUUAUUAUUCUUACAUAUAUAAUAAUAGAAGCAAGUAACUUUAUGCUCCUAUUGUGUAAUGUGCUACUUAUUACAGCCAUGAAUUUCCAUUCCUCAGGGGUCAAACACUGAAUCUUUCUGAGGAAUCCAAUUAGUUCCUUCUAUAAAUUCAAUGUAGAGAAAUCCCUGAAGACUUUUUGAAAUUCAUGUAACCCAGAAUAAAGAAAUAGGUCUGGCCAGGAACGGUGGCUCAUGCCUAUAAUCCCAGCACUUUGGGAGGCCAGGGCGGGUGGAUCAUCUGAGGUCAGGAGUUCGAGACCAGCCUGGCCAACAUGGUGAAACCCCAUCUCUACUAAAAAUACAAAAAUUCGCCGGGGCGUGGUGGUUUGUGCCUAUAAUCCCAGCUACUUGGGAGGCUGAGGCAAGAGAAUCACUUGAACCUGGGAGGCGGAGGUUGUAGUGAGCUGAGAUAGCACCAUUGCACUCCAGCCUGGGCAACAAGAGUGAAACUCCAUCAGAAAGAAAGGAAGAAAGGAACAAAGGAAGAAAGGAAGAAAGAAAGAAAGAAAGAAAGAAAGAAAGAAAGAAAGAAAGAAAGAAAGAAAGAAAGAAAGAAAGAAAGAAAGAAAGAAAGAAAGAGAAAGAAGAAAGAGAGAGAAAGAAAGAAGAAAGAAAAAAGGAAGAAAGAAAGAAAGAAGGAAAGAAAGAAAGAAAAAGAAAGAGAAAGAAAUCUGUAAGAUGUAUCUGAUGCAAAAUUGAGAAGCAGUUCUAGGUAUUCUCCAAACUAUCCCUUUCAUUCCCUGUGCCCUCUCCAGGUGCAGAUUUUUCUAAAACAAGAGCAUUUUAAACAUUCCUCUUUUGCACAGCCCAUUUACAAAGCCUGGAAACAUCCCUACAAUGAUUAGUUGCACUUAUCAACUUAGCUAGGUUAUGGUCACCAGAAAUUCAAUCAAACACUAACCUAGAUGUUGCUAUGACAGUACUGUGUAGAUUUGAUUAAAUUCCAUACUCAGUUGACUUUAAGUAAGAGAGAUUAUCUUAGGAAAUCUGAAUAGGACUGAUUUAAUCAGUUGAGCUGUAAGAGUGGAGUUGAUGCUUCCUUAAUAAAGAAGAAAUUCCACCUGUGGACAGCAGAUUUUUGCUACCCAUGCCUGAGAGUUCAGUCUAUCCUAAAUAUUUUGGACUUGCCACAAUCAUGUAAACCAAUUCCUUGCAAUUCCUUGCAAUAAACUUCUUAAUUUAUUAAGGAGUAAAUUAAGGAAUUUAUUUAUCAAGGAAUAAAUUGCAAGGAAUUUAUUGCAAUUCCUUGCAAUAAACCUCUUAGUAUAUAUCUCCUCCUGGUUCUGUUUCUCUGGCUGAAUGCUGAUGAAUACAGGCCCAACAAUAUGUGCAUAUAUUUCCUUUUUUAAUUCACAAAAGUAAGAUAUUUUAAUUUCAGUGAAUUGAGACUAUUCUUUUCCACUCUGACUUGCCCCCUGCCACACCGGUGCAGUAGUGUUUCAGUGGCCACAGAUAUUCUGAGGAUCUUGCUCAGAAGAAGUUGAGUUAGAGAUAUAUUUAGCUUGAGUUUACUAGAAUUUAUUUAUAAUUCACAGUCACAUCCAUGGAUAAUUAUUUCUAGCCACACCUUCCAGAAAUAUUAUUACUAUCACUGUGAAAAUACACCUGGGUUUUGAUUCAAAGUAUCUAGAGAUCAUAUCAGAAUAUGAACAUGUCCUAGAGCAUCUGGGGCCAGAUAUAUGUGGGUAGUGAAAAUUUUAAAAAGUUGAAAUGCAUGAGCCAGAGCUGGUCAGUGGAAAAGUUUUCCAGUUGUCAGGCAUGUAAAAUGUAAGCAAAGGAGAUGAUGAUGCUCAUGAACGUUUUAUGAAAACAAGAACAUAUUAAAUAACACAUUGUAUGUACAAUCAUGAAUGCACAGUGCAACUUUUUUCUUUUUUGAUGGAAAUUACAUACAUAGAAUUUAUCAUAAUCUCUAUACUUAUAGAGUAUGAACUUGUAGCGGCACUGUAAAUAGUGUCUAAAGUUUCCUAUGUUUUGCCUUUCAACAGUCAGUAAUAAAAAGGUAAAUUUCAAUUAAUCAUGCUAAGGAAAUAUUGAAUUAUCAUUUCAUUCUCUUUCUGCAAAAUGUUUCUUAUGAAGAAGUGAUCACGGGGUCAAAACUCCAGACAAAAAAGUAUUUGACAAGUGUGUUAGAUAGCUAAUGAUUAUGCAAUUUUUCUUGAUUUUUGUGACAUUUGUUGAAUUUACCACCUUUUAAAAAUUUGUAACUUGUCAUUUCUUUUUCAUUCCAGAUAGAUAUUCAUUUUUGUGAAUAUAAAAUCAUGAAUUUAUAAUUUCAAAUUUCUUUCCUUAAAGAGAGCUCUUCAAAUUGUAUAAUUUUUUUUUGAGACAGAGUAUUGCUCAGUAGCCCAGGCUGGAGUGCAGUGGUGCCAUCUCAGCUCACUGCAAGCUCUGCCUCCUGGGUUCACACCAUUCUCCUGCCUCAGCCUCCCGAGUAGCUGGGACUACAGGCGCCCACCACCACGCCUGGAUAAUUUUUUUUUUAUUUUUAGUAGAGACGUGGUUUCACCAUGUUCACCAGGAUGGUCUCGACCUCCUGACCUCGUGAUCCACCCCCCUAGGCCUCCCAAAGUGCUGGGAUUACAGGUGUGAGCCACCGCGCCCAGCCCAAAUUGUAUAAUCUUGAAUUCUCACAAAUUCGAGAUCUUCCCACGCACCUCUGUGUGUGUGUUUGUUUUGGUGUCCCUUAACACUUUCCCUGCUUCAUCACACUGCCCAGAGCUUCCCACUGGGAACAUACUCUCACCUCCUUAAUUCCCAUUUCCUUUUUCUUACCCAAACAGGAAGGAGUAGCCACUAUUCAUGCCAUUGUCAAAACCUCAUGGCAACAAAACUUCCAGGGCUGGAAUUGCAAAGAUGAUUACAAAGGGGAGCUCCACAAUCAGGUGAUCCAGCAUUGAUAAGGUGUUUGGACUUGAUUAUAUGAAACGAGAUUUCUAUAAUUACUAGAGCUUGUUCUUUAAUAUGCAUUAUUUUAGGGUUAUCUUCUCUGCUAGAAAUUAUAAAACAGUUUGAGCUAAAGACGCAAAGCUAAAUAAGCCCCAAUGUGUGCUAUGUUAAUAUAACAUUCCAAACAACUCACAUCUAAAGAAUAUGAAGAUCUGCCAUUAUUUUAGAAUUAUGAGAUUUUUAUAAGAAUAAAUUUGCCUUGGGCAAAUGGCACCAGUAAAUGGCACUGAUCUAAAAAAUAAAAAAAGCAAACAUUCUACUAUAUGUAAAAAUCUGAAAUGAUAUCUGCUCUGGUUUGGGGGGAAGGUUGCUGUUUUUUUAAAAAAAAUAUGAUCAUGGAGAUAAUUAAGUGAUUAACGGAAUAUGGUACUGAAAAAGUGUAACCUAUUCUAAUAUGAUGAGAUAGAUCCCCACACAAUAGUUUAGGAAUCUUAUUCUAAGUAAUACUUAGGCAAUAUCUUAUUCUAAGUAAUGCUUAGGCUUUGCUGCUAAUGCUUAUUGAAGGGAGUGAUGGAUCUGAGUAUGCUACUUUGUGUGCCAUUGAAUGUCUGCUCUGAGAAGCAGGAAAGUAAACCCAGCAUUGUAGUGAUAGUCUUUGGAAUGAAGCUCAUGGUGAGAACCAAGAGCAACUCCAGUAGGAAAGAAAGGGCAAGGUCAGAAAGGAGAUUAAGAUCUUGGAAGCAGAGUUGCCCCGGGGUACCUGCUAACUGUUCCUAUGUACCUGCUGUGAGCAGACUAUUGUAUCAGGCAUAUAGGGAGUUUCAAAAAAAUCAGAUCCUGCCCUGAGAAAGAAGAACAUUACCUUCAAGCAGCAUUUACUAAGCUUCUAUCUGUGCAUAUUUUGGGGAAUGGCAGUAUGCCAAGAAAUUUCAACAUAUAUAACCAACACUCAGGGGGUCAAAAUCCAAAACAACACCAAAAUCCUUGGUUUUCUAAAAUGAAUUGUGAAACUUCUUCCUCAGUUAUUGUCUGCUAUGUAUCUAUAGGAAUCGGCUUUCCCUUCUAAAGAAACAGAGACUCCAUAUUUUGCAUGUUUCCUCACACUGUGAUGUGUGCAGUGAGAAUGCAGAGAUGGCUAAGAAUGAUAUUUCCCAAUGCUCCUGCACCUACCUGCACAUGGCUAUCUGACUAAUUCUCACCAAUGAAACAUGAGAGGGAGGGUCCUCCUUUGUGGCCAAGAGUUUUAGGAACCUCAUGUAACUUCUCUAUCUCUUUUCUCCCUUCCACCAGCUAGAGUCAGAUGAUUAUAAGUCCCUGGAAUGAUGAUGCCACAAGAUGGAAGGAGUCUAGCUACAUGAUUCAUUGCAUGGGUAAAAGCCAACUAGGAAUGUCCUUCCUCAAAUUAAUAUAUUACCCAGAGAUAAACACUUACUGCCUGGAAAAAAAUAGCCUGGCUCUUCUUGUUCCACAGCCAAGCAUUAUGUAAUUCAAUGCCCUACAUAAAGGAAUCUAAUACACAUUUACUGAAUUUAAAAUGACAGGCUAAGACAGGCAUUUAAGGUGCUGCAUAGAAUCCCAGGCGCAUUCUAUCUAAUAUAUUGUAGUUACUUAGAGUGAGAGGGGAAGUGAUAGAUAGGAUGAUGUGUAAAUUAGGAGCAAGGUUGAAAUAAAAAGUAGGAAAAUAUUCAAUGUCUGAGUGUCAAAGAGUCAUGUGAGGUGGACAGUUGCAGAGUUGCCGUCUAUCAUCUAUUCCCCAUCCUUACAGAAAUAUCACCACAAUUAUAUUUGAUAAGUCCAGAUUCUCCCACCUUCAGUAACGUUCCUGGUCUCUUCAGGAUAUGAAAGUAAAGUUAGAACUGAUGCAGUCGUUUCACUUCUGCAAGAUAAGGGCCUGUCUGAAAAUGACAUCAACUUGUGGAAUAGAACAAUGCCAAGACACAGAGAUAGAUGAUGUUCAGCCCCAGAAGCCAAGUGGAUCUGAAGUUAGCACUGCCCUAUAUGUGUUUCUUAUAGUAGACCAAUUCCUCUUUGCUUAGGCCAAUUGGAUUAAGUUUUCUGCCAUCCAUAACUAUAAAAGCUCUAACUAAUACAUCAUAGAAGGUUUUGUGGUAUUGAUAAUAUCCUGCCACUUAUGGGUGCAGCUAGUAUUUGUGUCAGAUCCCUCUGAUGGUGAGUCAAGGCCAUUCCAGUGGAGAGCAAGUUGCUGGAAGCUAUAAUACUUGAAAAUGAAAGUCUGGGGUAUGCCAGGACUUUAUUCCCCUUCUCCGUAAAAUCUCCAUUAAUUGUUCUUUUCUAAACCAUCACAAAAUUAAGAAAGAUUAAAAUUCCUUGAUAAGGAUAUUUUCUCAAUUUUAUCCUAACUAUGCUUACAGUAACUUUCUAAAACUUGGCAUCUUAAUUACUCUAUAACAAACAAGAUGAAUAAAAAUAUGUGUGCCAUGCACAUAAAAAUUUCUUUAUAGUUCCCUCAGUCCCUGCUUUCCCACACUCUUACCACUCCUAUGCUUUUCCCAUAUAGAAAUUCUGAAGCUAAAAGUCAAGUUCCAAAAUUCUACUUAAUAGAGAGAACCAAAAGCAUGACCAGAAUGGUUCCUCAGAAUCAGGAGGUGAAACCUAACAUUCGUACUGAGAUUGGAAUUCAGACCCAAGGGCCAGGAGUCAGAUAAGAUAAUAACAAGGAGGUGGUUAGUUAAAAAGAGUGAAUGGGAUGCUGUCUGAAUUAUUUUGGAAACAGUUACUAGUGACAGCAAUCAGGCUUUCACAUGAUCUUUAUGACAUGUCUCAUUUGUUGCCUAGAUCCAUUUAAAGGACCUAGGAAAUGACCAAACCUGAAGCUUGGAUCAUUUACUUAAAAUUUCUAAAGACACAAGGGUCAGGCUCUAUUCACAUAGACAUUGCCAAACCAAAUCCCCAAACUUGUCAGCUUUUUUGUCCCUCUGCCUCUUCAUUCUCUAGACUGGGAACUUUACAUGAGCACUAACAGGCAGUCUAGUCCUGGUUUAGCACCUCCCCCACCCCACCCCAGACAUUGCUGAACAGACAUUCCCUCCAACUACCACCUGGUAUUUUCACAGAGCAGCUUCAGAAAAUCUAUUGAGCAAAAUAAGGAAGGAGACUUGCUCUAGUUGCAAUGUAGGAGGUCACAAGUUUAUAUUCCAUUUAUGCCUCCACUAAUUCUAUUUGUUUUCUUCGCAUUAGGUGUUCCAAGAUAAUGAAUACUUCCAUAGCAACAAAAGUCUGACAAUAAACGGUUACCUUGAUUUUCACAUUUUCAAAGAAAAAUCCCUCAAUGGCAACUAGACCAGAAGUCUCAACACUGAAUAUGCAAUAAUGGCUACAAGGUGAACAGUUUUUCUAUUCCAUUUUCUUAGCAACAUCAUUGAUUGAUUUUCUUGGAAAGGAAGUUAGAUUGGAUUAGAUGAUCUUUUUGUUUCAGUCAUGUAGCUUGUUAUUAGCAAUUAAUAUAUGCAGUAGCUUUUGAAACAACAUAAGUAAUAAGUGACUUCAGUAGAAAUUCAUUAUAUUCUAACACAAAUGAUUUAUAAAUGCAAUUUUAUUUUAAAAUUUCUAUCCUUUCUGUCUCCCUGAUUAUAAUUGUCAAAGUAUUCUGAUAGUAGAAAGUGUGUAUGACUGAAAAAAUGGUAUAAAAUAUUUCAGAUAUAGUAUAUAUUCUAUAGGUUGAAUUCAAAAGACUGCUGUCACUGUACAUUUUUUCCCUAACAAAUCAUCUUUUUUCUAUGCAUAACCUAUGGUGAGGCAACAUUCUUUACAUUGUGUUAAACAAGAAAAUACUUUGUAAUGAAUUAAAGUUAAGGAAAGACUACAUCUAUCAGCCACAAGGAACUUGAGUUCUGGCAAUUUUGAGGGUUUAAGGCUCACAGUUUUAGCAGCUAUGUCUGCAUAAGGACUUGAUUGGAUCAAAAUAAAGAACACAAACAUGAACAAGGGGCUCCCUGAAAAUUCAGAGCUUCAAUGAGUUCAGCACAAGUCCUAAAAGGACAUCUCCCUAAACAUUGACAUUAAACGUUUUUGCACUGGCUUGACUGGGUAUAACUUUAAAAUGAAAUACUAAGUGAAAUACCUGUAUAAUGAAAACUAUAAAACACUGACAAAAGAAAUUGAAGGGGACACCAAAAAAUGGAAAAAAUUCCAUGUUUAUGAAUUAGAAGAAUCAAUAUUAUUAAAAUGUUCAUAUUACCCAAAACAAUUUAGAGAUUCAAUGCACCCUCUAUCAAAAUACCAACGACAUUUGUAUCAAUCACAGUCCUCUAGAGGGACAGAAUAUGAUAUAUAUGUACAUAUAUCCUAUUAUAUAUGUGUGUCUAUAUCCCAUUAUAUGUAUACUGUUAUAUAUAUCCUAUUUUUU
This 8265-nucleotide long non-coding RNA is filed under the name Homo sapiens (human). RNAcentral's name for it is "long non-coding RNA NONHSAT212619.1". Lineage: Eukaryota; Metazoa; Chordata; Mammalia; Primates; Hominidae. The record is from RNAcentral.